CGUUGAAAUACUGAUUCUCAUAUGAUCAGUAAAAUUAAGCAAUGUUGAGCCUGUUCAGUAUUUAGAUGGGUGACCACUUGGGAAUACCAAAUGCUGUAA
Non-coding RNA from Acanthosepion pharaonis, 99 nucleotides. The record is from the annotation of a GenBank genome assembly. NCBI's taxonomy places the organism in Eukaryota, Metazoa, Mollusca, Cephalopoda, Sepiida, Sepiidae.